Molecule: ribosomal RNA, 459 nt
Filed under: uncultured bacterium
Lineage: Bacteria
Description: bacterial SSU rRNA
Rfam family: Bacterial small subunit ribosomal RNA
Source: RNAcentral
AUAAACGUUUGCGGCGUGCCUGAUGCAUGCAAGUCGAACGCCCUGAUUUUUCGCAAGAUUUAUCAGGGAGUGGCGAACGGCUGAGUAACACGUAAGUGACCUGUCCCUAAGUGGGGGAUAACUUGCCGAAAGGCAGGCUAAUACCGCAUGUGAUGGUAAGCGUUGGUUUACCAUUAAAGCUUUUGCGCUUUGGGAGGGGCUUGCGUCUGAUUAGCUAGUUGGUAGGGUAAUGGCCUACCAAGGCGAUGAUCAGUAGCUGGUCUGAGAGGACAACCAGCCAGACGGGGACUGAGAUACGGCUCUGACUCCUACGGGAGGCAGCAGCAAGGAAUUUUGCGCAAUGGGCGAAAGCCUGACGCAGCGACGCCGCGUGGGGGAUGACGGCCUUCGGGUUGUAAACCCCUUUUUACGAGGAAGAAAUAUGAUGGUACUCGUAGAAUAAGUCUUGGCUAACUACGU